This 468-nucleotide ribosomal RNA is filed under the name uncultured bacterium. RNAcentral describes it as "partial 16S ribosomal RNA". It matches the Rfam family "Bacterial small subunit ribosomal RNA", at positions 28 to 507 of the family's 1533-position model. The record is from RNAcentral.
GACGAACGCUGGCGGCGUGCUUAACACAUGCAAGUCGAACGGAAAGGCCCUGCUUUUGUGGGGUGCUCGAGUGGCUAACGGGUGAGUAACACGUGAGUAACCUGCCCUUUACUUUGGGAUAACUUCAGGAAACUGGGGCUAAUACCGGAUAGGAGCUCCUGCUGCAUGGUGGGGGUUGGAAAGUUUCGGCGGUUGGGGAUGGACUCGCGGCUUAUCAGCUUGUUGGUGGGGUAGUGGCUUACCAAGGCUUUGACGGGUAGCCGGCCUGAGAGGGUGACCGGCCACAUUGGGACUGAGAUACGGCCCAGACUCCUACGGGAGGCAGCAGUGGGGAAUAUUGCACAAUGGGCGGAAGCCUGAUGCAGCAACGCCGCGUGCGGGAUGAAGGCCUUCGGGGUGUAAACCGCUUUCGCCUGUGACGAAGCGUGAGUGACGGUAAUGGGUAAAGAAGCACCGGCUAACUACGUG